Molecule: long non-coding RNA, 827 nt
Organism: Lolium perenne
Lineage: Eukaryota; Viridiplantae; Streptophyta; Magnoliopsida; Poales; Poaceae
Source: RefSeq, a predicted model, not a curated record
UAUUUCGUGUUGCUAUUGUUUACUCCGAUUCAGGCACUAGGAAUGAAUAUUACAUUCAUUCGAGCAUAAUAGUUCACCAUGUUACCUUUCCUGUCCUACUUUUAUGUUAGAGUUAUCUCAACAGUAUAUUUCGUUUACUUGUUACCCUUUGUGUUGCUAUUUCGCUAAUUUAUUCUCUUCUGUGAUAUUAAGGUGUACAGUUGACAACAACCCACGGUGGUGUUGCACAUAUAUUCUUGAGGCAUCUGAUCCCUUAUUUGUGGAAAUUGGGAAGUCUUUUAUUGAAGAACAAAUCAAAGGUCUGUACUUCUAAAAUGAUAUUGAGUGAUCGAGGUUGAUUUCGAAGAUUAUGUCUGUAGGCCCGGAUAAAAUUAGCAAGUUAUGUGAUUGUCUGGAUAUGUUGGAUUGAAGAUUUUGUAAGUUAGAUUGUCUGGAUAUGUCAUUGUGUCGUGCAACGAUGAGAUCAUGUUGAGAUUUGCCUUUAUAGUGUACUGCUGGAUAUGUUGGUUGCAGACCAUGUUCAGAUUUGCCUUUAUAGUGUACUAUUGCAUAUGUUGAAUUUGCAGGCAACUGCAGCUGUAACAUGUUCAGAUUUGCCUUUAUUUGUGCUGCUGGAACAUGUUGCUUGCAGAACAUGUUGGUACUUUCCAUUGCAGUGUAUUAUUUGUUGCAGAACAAGUUGUAAUAUGCUGGAACAUAUUGCUUGCAUAAUUGUCAUUAGUUGGAAACUGUUUGCUGCAGAAAUGUGCCUCUAGGUCCAUUUGGAAGCACUAGAUUCUGCCUUGAAUUCUAUUUGCUGGCAUUUAUAAAAAUGCCUUGGUUACAAA